UAGUGGCGAACGGGUGAGUAACACGUGGGCAAUCUGCCCUUCACUCUGGGACAAGCCCUGGAAACGGGGUCUAAUACCGGAUACCACUCCUGCCCGCAUGGGCGGGGGUUGAAAGCUCCGGCGGUGAAGGAUGAGCCCGCGGCCUAUCAGCUUGUUGGUGGGGUAAUGGCCCACCAAGGCGACGACGGGUAGCCGGCCUGAGAGGGCGACCGGCCACACUGGGACUGAGACACGGCCCAGACUCCUACGGGAGGCAGCAGUGGGGAAUAUUGCACAAUGGGCGAAAGCCUGAUGCAGCGACGCCGCGUGAGGGAUGACGGCCUUCGGGUUGUAAACCUCUUUCAGCAGGGAAGAAGCGAAAGUGACGGUACCUGCAGAAGAAGCGCCGGCUAACUACGUGCCAGCAGCCGCGGUAAUACGUAGGGCGCAAGCGUUGUCCGGAAUUAUUGGGCGUAAAGAGCUCGUAGGCGGCUUGUCACGUCGGAUGUGAAAGCCC
Molecule: ribosomal RNA, 496 nt
Filed under: Streptomyces sp. 310B02
Lineage: Bacteria; Bacillati; Actinomycetota; Actinomycetes; Kitasatosporales; Streptomycetaceae
Description: bacterial SSU rRNA
Rfam family: Bacterial small subunit ribosomal RNA
Source: RNAcentral